ACUUUCAAAGGAUAGCAGUAAUCCAAUGGUCUUAGGAACCAACAACCUUGGUGCAAAUCCAAGUGAAAGUA
RNAcentral lists this transfer RNA (71 nucleotides) under Lanius sphenocercus sphenocercus. RNAcentral describes it as "tRNA-Leu". It matches the Rfam family "tRNA". Rfam says of the family: Transfer RNA (tRNA) molecules are approximately 80 nucleotides in length. Their secondary structure includes four short double-helical elements and three loops (D, anti-codon, and T loops). The record is from RNAcentral. Lineage: Eukaryota; Metazoa; Chordata; Aves; Passeriformes; Laniidae.